GUAGGUGGCAAGCGUUGUCCGGAAUUAUUGGGCGUAAAGCGCGCGCAGGCGGGUUCUUUAAGUCUGAUGUGAAAGCCCACGGGCUCAACCGUGGAGGGUCAUUGGAAACUGGAGAACUUGAGUACAGAAGAGGAAAGCGGAAUUCCACGUGUAGCGGUGAAAUGCGUAGAGAUGUGGAGGAACACCAGUGGCGAAGGCGGCUUUCUGGUCUGUAACUGACGCUGAGGCGCGAAAGCGUGGGGAGCAAACAGGAUUAGAUACCCUGGUAGUCCACGCCGUAAACGAUGAGUGCUAAGUGUUAGGGGGUUUCCGCCCCUUAGUGCUGCAGCUAACGUAUUAAGCACUCCGCCUGGGGAGUACGGCCGCAAGGCUG
This 373-nucleotide ribosomal RNA is filed under the name uncultured organism. RNAcentral describes it as "partial 16S ribosomal RNA". It matches the Rfam family "Bacterial small subunit ribosomal RNA", at positions 527 to 896 of the family's 1533-position model. The record is from RNAcentral.